UCUUUCGGCCAUCCACAAAAGAAAGCAAUAAAUACCGCCCAAUCUUUAAAAAUAAGCUGGUGAUGGCGUCGAGAUUACUGUGGUAUGGGAUUACACUGGAAUACGACAUGCCGUAAGUC
RNAcentral lists this ribosomal RNA (119 nucleotides) under Smittium mucronatum. The record is from RNAcentral. Lineage: Eukaryota; Fungi; Kickxellomycota; Harpellomycetes; Harpellales; Legeriomycetaceae.